AAUAAAGUGCCUGACAAAAGGGUUAUCGUGAUAGGAUAAAACAUGUAAUUAUCAAUUACCUUUAUUA
RNAcentral lists this transfer RNA (67 nucleotides) under Eurycotis sp. B074. Its description in RNAcentral is "tRNA-Ile". The record is from RNAcentral. Lineage: Eukaryota; Metazoa; Arthropoda; Insecta; Blattodea; Blattidae.